CACAAAUGUAGCUUUAAUCUAGCAUAGUGUGGUGAUGUUAGUAAAACCGUAAGUUAAAUUAUGAUGGCAGCUGAUGUGUCAACAGCUAACGUCUGCUAACCCAGUGGAACGGGGAGCUGAGAGGGUGCUAAAAGCGCGCCUCAGAUGUUUCAUUUAAAGGUAGAGCUUUCAUGUUAGUGACAACAAAACUGUGUAAAAAGUAACAUCCUCAAGCUGUGUCGAACUUUGAGCAGUAGAAAACAAAGUGUUUCAGGCUAAAGACAGACCUAAGGAGGGUUUUUACUAGUAUUAGAUAAAUAAGGAGGCUUUUGAGCAGAUAACACAAAGCUGCUCUGCAGGUGACCCAGACUGACAGAAUAAAAGGUGAAAAA
Molecule: non-coding RNA, 371 nt
Organism: Xyrichtys novacula (pearly razorfish)
Lineage: Eukaryota; Metazoa; Chordata; Actinopteri; Labriformes; Labridae
Source: the annotation of a GenBank genome assembly